GACGAACGCUGGCGGCGUGCUUAACACAUGCAAGUCGAACGGAAAGGCCCCUUCGGGGGUACGUCGAGUGGCGAACGGGUGAGUAACACGUGGGCAACCUGCCCUCAGCUUCGGGAUAACACUUGGAAACAGGUGCUAAUACCGGAUAAUAACUUGUCAUCGCAUGGUGGUGGGGUUCAAAGUUUUUCGGCUGAGGAUGGGCCCGCGGCCUAUCAGCUUGUUGGUGGGGUAAUGGCCUACCAAGGCGACGACGGGUAGCCGGCCUGAGAGGGCGACCGGCCACACUGGGACUGAGACACGGCCCAGACUCCUACGGGAGGCAGCAGUGGGGAAUAUUGCGCAAUGGGCGGAAGCCUGACGCAGCGACGCCGCGUGAGGGAUGACGGCCUCGGUUGUAAC
This 399-nucleotide ribosomal RNA is filed under the name uncultured bacterium. RNAcentral describes it as "bacterial SSU rRNA". It matches the Rfam family "Bacterial small subunit ribosomal RNA", at positions 28 to 429 of the family's 1533-position model. The record is from RNAcentral.